GAAGGUAGCGUAAUCACUUGUUCUUUAAAUGAGGACUAGUAUGAAUGGCACCACGAGGGUUAAACUGUCUCCUUUUUUUGAUCAGUGAAACUAAUCUCCCCGUGAAAAAGCGGGAAUUUACUUAUAAGACGAGAAGACCCUAUGGAGCUUUAAACAAAUUAACAUCCGCUAUUACUUUAUUAUCUUAAGAGUCACAACAAAAAAAUAUAGCAAUCUGAUUAAAAGUUUUCGAUUGGGGUGAUCACGGAGUAAAAAAUAACCUCCACGUCGAACGGAUUAAAAUCCUGAACAAAAAGCUACAGCUUUAUGCACUAAUACAUUAACGCCUUUGACCCAUUUUUUGAUCAACGAACCAAGUUACCCUAGGGAUAACAGCGCAAUCUGCUUUGAGAGCCCCUAUCGACAAGCGGGUUUACGACCUCGAUGUUGGAUCAGGGUAUCC
This 442-nucleotide ribosomal RNA is filed under the name Bokermannohyla feioi. RNAcentral describes it as "Bokermannohyla sp. f TOB-2022 partial large subunit ribosomal RNA". It matches the Rfam family "Bacterial large subunit ribosomal RNA", at positions 1952 to 2547 of the family's 2925-position model. The record is from RNAcentral. Lineage: Eukaryota; Metazoa; Chordata; Amphibia; Anura; Hylidae.